GCGUGAAGUGUUUGUGAGUGUAGUAUUCUUGAAAGUUGGUGAAAUAGACACAUUACAGGAAACAUUCGAAGCAGACAUAUACAUAAAAGCAAGAUGGCGAGAAUGUACGUUUGAUCACGGCACAAACAAGUCUUUAGACGAAGCUUCCCAAUCAAAAAUGUGGAACCCUAAAAUUCAGAUCCAGAACAUCAUAGGCUCACCUAGAACACGGCUAUCAACGGAAGUAGAAUUUACAUCCGAGGGAGAGGCGUAUAUUAUAGAAACCAGAAGAAUUAAAGGGACAUUCUCAGAACAUCUGGAACUCCGUAAUUUCCCGUUUGAUGUUCAGGAUUUAUCUGUAUUAAUCACAACAGAAUUAACUGAUAAUAAAGUAAAUCUAUUGGAAGAUGAGAAGGAAUUAAGCCGAGUUAAUCCACGAGGAUUUCUGGAUUCACAAGAAUGGACGUUACGGGAUCACGUGAAAGCAACUCAAGAUGUCAAUUUGUCCCAUGAAAUAUUUGCUACCAAGAAAAAAUACCCCACCUUAACUUUUACGUUCAUUGC
Patella vulgata (common limpet) is the source of this 543-nucleotide long non-coding RNA. RefSeq lists it as uncharacterized. The transcript has 3 exons. NCBI's taxonomy places the organism in Eukaryota, Metazoa, Mollusca, Gastropoda, Patellidae. The record is from RefSeq and is a predicted model, not a curated record.